This 440-nucleotide ribosomal RNA is filed under the name uncultured bacterium. RNAcentral describes it as "partial 16S ribosomal RNA". It matches the Rfam family "Bacterial small subunit ribosomal RNA", at positions 338 to 795 of the family's 1533-position model. The record is from RNAcentral.
CCUACGGGAGGCAGCAGUGGGGGAUAUUGCACAAUGGGGGAAACCCUGAUGCAGCGACGCCGCGUGAGUGAAGAAGCAUCUCGGGGCGUAAAGCCCUAUCAGCAGGGAAGAAAAUGACGGUACCUGAAGAAGAAGCCCCGGCUAACUACGUGCCAGCAGCCGCGGUAAUACGUAGGGGGCAAGCGUUAUCCGGAUUUACUGGGUGUAAAGGGGGCGUAGACGGCGGUGCAAGUCAGGAGUGAAAACCAGGGGCUUAACCCCUGGACUGCAUUGGAAACUGUGGUGCUUGAGUGCUGGAGGGGUAAGCGGAAUUCCGAGUGUAGCGGUGAAAUGCGUAGAUAUAAGGAGGAACACCGGUGGCGAAGGCGGCGUACUGGACAAUAACUGACGCUGAGGCGCGAAAGCGUGGGGAGCAAACAGGAUUAGAUACCCCAGUAGUC